This 460-nucleotide ribosomal RNA is filed under the name uncultured bacterium. RNAcentral describes it as "partial 16S ribosomal RNA". It matches the Rfam family "Bacterial small subunit ribosomal RNA", at positions 338 to 795 of the family's 1533-position model. The record is from RNAcentral.
CCUACGGGAGGCAGCAGUGAGGAAUAUUGGUCAAUGGACGAGAGUCUGAACCAGCCAAGUAGCGUGAAGGAUGACUGCCCUAUGGGUUGUAAACUUCUUUUAUAUGGGAAUAAAAUGUUCCACGUGUGGGAUUUUGUAUGUACCAUAUGAAUAAGGAUCGGCUAACUCCGUGCCAGCAGCCGCGGUAAUACGGAGGAUCCGAGCGUUAUCCGGAUUUAUUGGGUUUAAAGGGAGCGUAGGUGGAUUGUUAAGUCAGUUGUGAAAGUUUGCGGCUCAACCGUAAAAUUGCAGUUGAAACUGGCAGUCUUGAGUACAGUAGAGGUGGGCGGAAUUCGUGGUGUAGCGGUGAAAUGCUUAGAAAUCACGAAGAACUCCGAUUGCGAAGGCAGUUCACUGGACUGCAACUGACACUGAGGCUCGAAAGUGUGGGUAUCAAACAGGAUUAGAUACCCCAGUAGUC